RNAcentral lists this ribosomal RNA (446 nucleotides) under uncultured bacterium. RNAcentral describes it as "bacterial SSU rRNA". It matches the Rfam family "Bacterial small subunit ribosomal RNA", at positions 330 to 793 of the family's 1533-position model. The record is from RNAcentral.
UCCAGACUCCUACGGGAGGCAGCAGUGGGGAAUAUUGCACAAUGGGGGAAACCCUGAUGCAGCGACGCCGCGUGGGUGAAGGAGCACCUCGGUGCGUAAAGCCCUAUCGGCAGGGAAGAAACAGACGGUACCUGACUAAGAAGCCCCGGCUAACUACGUGCCAGCAGCCGCGGGAAUACGUAGGGGGCAAGCGUUAUCCGGAUUCACUGGGUGUAAAGGGAGCGUAGACGGCGACGCAAGUCUGGAGUGAAAGCCCGGGGCCCAACCCCGGGACUGCUUUGGAAACUGUAUAGCUGGAGUGCAGGAGAGGUAAGUGGAAUUCCUAGUGUAGCGGUGAAAUGCGUAGAUAUUAGGAGGAACACCAGUGGCGAAGGCGGCUUACUGGACUGUAACUGACGUUGAGGCUCGAAAGCGUGGGGAGCAAACAGGAUUAGAUACCCCAGUAA